CAGCGCCACGAGUGGCAAUCGUGUAUUUGGCCUAAAGCGUCCGUAGCCGGAUUUGUAAAUCUUUUGUGAAAUCGUUGAGCUCAACUUAACGGCGUGCAGAAGACACUGCGAGUCUUGAGACCGGGAGGAGAUAGAGGUAUUCUAGGGGGAGCGGUAAAAUGCUAUAAUCCCUGGAGGACCACCAGUGGCGAAGGCGUCUAUCCAGAACGGAUCUGACGGUGAGGGACGAAAGCCAGGGGAGCGAACCGGAUUAGAGACCCGAGUAGUCC
This 269-nucleotide ribosomal RNA is filed under the name uncultured archaeon. RNAcentral describes it as "partial 16S ribosomal RNA". It matches the Rfam family "Archaeal small subunit ribosomal RNA", at positions 477 to 747 of the family's 1478-position model. The record is from RNAcentral.